This is a long non-coding RNA of Bactrocera neohumeralis, 625 nucleotides long. RefSeq lists it as uncharacterized. The record is from RefSeq and is a predicted model, not a curated record. The transcript has 2 exons. NCBI's taxonomy places the organism in Eukaryota, Metazoa, Arthropoda, Insecta, Diptera, Tephritidae.
CGCUUUGCACACGCUAAAUGCAAAGCGUAAAUAUUGAAAAUGGAAAGCAAAAAAAAAAAAUAAGAAAAUGAUUUACUAUACAAUAGGCGCUAAUGGACAACGCAUACAGAAUUAAUAUUAAUUGAGUUGGCUUUUGCGAAAAAUGCUAAAUAUUAAUUGCAUAAUAAUACAAAAUUUUUUUUUAUUUAGUAAAUUAUAAUAACGACUGACGAGUGGGUUGGUGGCGAGGCUAACAUUGGAUGGGUUUGCAGUUUGGAUAUAUCAAACUUAAAAAGAAUCAAAGCCGGGGAAAUACAUUAGGAUCGGAAUCCAAGAAAUUAUAUACAAUUGAACUUCCUUAAUUCGAAUUACCUUAAUCUUCAAAAAAAACUUCGAAUUAUGGAAAAAUAUGUGUAUGAAAUUUGACUUCUAUUGCCAAUUCAAGAGUUCGAGACAUGGAAGUUCAAUAUAACACAUAGACUGACCGACAUAUUCGACAAAAGGUUUGUUAUAUAUGUUCUAUAUGGGAGUUGAGGAUAUUAUACACCCGAUUUUAUCUAUUUUUGCUAAUACUACCUUGUACUUGUAUUGAUAAUAAUAAUAAAAUGUUCUUUGAGGCUCCAAUCAUAUAGAGCAAAGUCACCCG